UAUUUGCAAGAACUACUAGAACCUCGUCGAACCAUCUAUCACUUUUCAGGGACCCGCAAGGCUAGAGCUAGGGCUCCAACAGAGGCACCCCCAAUUGCUCCCCCACCUACUAGGCCAUCAUCAUUUUCUUUCUCCUCCACUCUACCAAACCAGAAAGUCCCCUUGUUGCAGAGUAUUCAUCCCGGGCAAUGCUUGUUGGCCUAGAGCCUCCACCACCUAUCCCAAUAGUAGCCGGUCAUGACCCUUAAGGCUUUCUUGG
RNAcentral lists this long non-coding RNA (259 nucleotides) under Glycine max (soybean). RNAcentral's name for it is "long non-coding RNA (GMAX_LNC002192)". Lineage: Eukaryota; Viridiplantae; Streptophyta; Magnoliopsida; Fabales; Fabaceae. The record is from RNAcentral.